GAAAUCUUUCCUGUUUGUGCUAAGAGCAUUUGUCCCUUGUUAUACACAUAACACAUAUACAACCUCCCCUACACCCAACACACACACAGCACAUCCAAAUCCAACACACCACACACACAUACACAUAUGUACACAUCCAAAACACAUUGACACCACACAGACUCCACACACCACACACACUCAACCCCUCCCCACAAACUCUAAACCUCCACUAUAUCCCCAACACAUGCACCACACCACACACAAACUCAACACACCAAACACACAUACACAUAUAAACACACAUACCCACACCCAACACACACACACCCAGCACAUAUACACACCACACACCCUCUACACACCACACACAAACCUCCAAAUAUACCCAACACACACACCAACCCAAUGCAUUACACACACAUAUACAAAUAUACACACACUCAGCACACACACCCAACACACGCUGACAUCCCACACACUCCACAACAGACUGCACACACAACCCCCCCAUAUACACAACUAACACGUACACACACACCAUACCACAUGUAUCCACCACACAUGUACACAUGUGCACACACACACCACACGUGUGUGCCCACUCACAGCCGGAUGGGGAAAAGCAGGCACAGCCAGUCAGGGGUGAGCAGCUGAAGAACCCUGAUGGGAGCAGGUAGCCUGGAGGGACGUGGGGUUAACUCUUUCCAAAUAAGGAGCUUUCCAAACUGCCAUUUCCGUAUUCUAAGGCUUGACAGCUUUUGAAAGGAUGAAAAGAGCGUGUAUUUUCCAGAAAUCCUUCAUGUGACUAUUUGCUUCAUUUCAAUGCCUCAGAACACCACCAACAAAAAACCCACUCACACCCUUGCUGGUGGUUGCUACAGUGCAAUUGGCUGCAGGCUUUUGUUUAGAAGUUUGCAGCAGUCCGGGAAGGAGGUUUUCUUCCUCCCGGAGCUGAGAAGGCCUGUCUUCAGCACCAACGUGUCUUCUGGCCUUGCCAAUAAAGAAGUAAGAAGCCACUGUGAAAAAACCAUCAUUCUCAACAAUAGGCCAAUAAACGGUUGGCAGAAAUGCCAUGCGCGCCCCUCCGAGGACGGGGCAGCGUGUUUGAAGAGUCACCAUGGUAGUGAUAUUUUAUGAGCAUGAGUCACUUGUCUGUUUUUCAGGGAGCGCUUUGCUCGGCCCAUCUCUUUUAGUACAUUUCCAUUUGGUGUGGUUUG
This 1199-nucleotide long non-coding RNA is filed under the name Homo sapiens (human). Its description in RNAcentral is "HSALNT0331722". The record is from RNAcentral. Lineage: Eukaryota; Metazoa; Chordata; Mammalia; Primates; Hominidae.